AACACAUGCAAGUCGAGGGGCAGCGGGGUUGUAGCAAUACAACUGCCGGCGACCGGCGCACGGGUGAGUAACACGUAUGUAACCUGCCCUCUGCAGGGGGAUAAGCGGAAGAAAUUCCGUCUAAUACCGCAUAAUACAAUUUAGGAGACAUCUCCGAGGUUGUCAAAGGAGUGAUCCGGCAGAGGAUGGACAUGCGGCGCAUUAGCUAGUCGGCGGGGUAACGGCCCACCGAGGCUACGAUGCGUAGGGGUUCUGAGAGGAAGGUCCCCCACACUGGUACUGAGACACGGACCAGACUCCUACGGGAGGCAGCAGUGAGGAAUAUUGGUCAAUGGGCGGAAGCCUGAACCAGCCAAGUCGCGUGAGGGAAGACGGUCCUAUGGAUUGUAAACCUCUUUUGCAGGGGAGCAAGGCGCGGUACGUGUACCGCGAAGGAGAGUACCCUGAGAAAAAGCAUCGGCUAACUCCGUGCCAGCAGCCGCGGUAAUACGGAGGAUGCGAGCGUUAUCCGGAUUUAUUGGGUUUAAAGGGUGCGCAGGCGGACUGUUAAGUCAGCGGUAAAAUCGUCGGUGCUCAACACCGGCCGGCCGUUGAAACUGGCAGCCUUGAGUGAGCGAGAAGUAUGCGGAAUGCGUGGUGUAGCGGUGAAAUGCAUAGAUAUCACGCAGAACUCCGAUUGCGAAGGCAGCAUACCGGCGCUCAACUGACGCUCAGGCACGAAAGCGUGGGUAUCUAACAAGGGUAGAUACCCUGGUAGUCCACGCAGUAAACGAUGAAUGCUCACUGUCCGGGCCGUUUAAGGCUUGGGUGGUCAAGGGAAAGCGUUAAGCAUUCCACCUGGGGAGUACGCCGGCAACGGUGAAACUCAAAGGAAUUGACGGGGGCCCGCAUAAGCGGAGGAACAUGUGGUUUAAUUUGAUGAUACGCGAGGAACCUUACCCGGGCUCAAACGGAAGGGGACAGUAUGAGAAAUCAUACAUUCCUUCGGGACCGCUUCCGAGGUGCUGCAUGGUUGUCGUCAGCUCGUGCCGUGAGGUGUCGGCUUAAGUGCCAUAACGAGCGCAACCCCUAUCGACAGUUGCUAGCAGGUAAAGCUGAGGACUCUGUCGAGACUGCCGGCGCAAGCUGUGAGGAAGGCGGGGAUGACGUCAAAUCAGCACGGCCCUUACGUCCGGGGCGACACACGUGUUACAAUGGCAGGUACAGCGGGAAGCCACCCGGCGACGGGGCGCAGAACCCGAAAACCUGUCUCAGUUCGGAUUGGAGUCUGCAACCCGACUCCAUGAAGCUGGAUUCGCUAGUAAU
This 1305-nucleotide ribosomal RNA is filed under the name uncultured bacterium. RNAcentral describes it as "partial 16S ribosomal RNA". It matches the Rfam family "Bacterial small subunit ribosomal RNA", at positions 50 to 1342 of the family's 1533-position model. The record is from RNAcentral.